GAUGAACGCUAGCUACAGGCUUAACACAUGCAAGUCGAGGGGCAGCAUGACGAUUGCUUGCAAUCGUUGAUGGCGACCGGCGCACGGGUGCGUAACGCGUAUCCAACCUUCCCCGUACCCGGGCACAGCCCGGCGAAAGUCGGAUUAAUUCCCGAUGCACUCCUUGGCGGGCAUCUAACAAGGAGUAAAGGUUAUCUGGUACUUGUAUGGGGAUGCGUAGGAUUAGCUGGUAGGCGGGGUAACGGCCCACCUAGGCGACGAUCCUUAGGGGUUCUGAGAGGAAGGUCCCCCACACUGGUACUGAGACACGGACCAGACUCCUACGGGAGGCAGCAGUGAGGAAUAUUGGUCAAUGGGCGCGAGCCUGAACCAGCCAAGUAGCGUGCAGGAUGACGGCCCUACGGGUUGUAAACUGCUUUUAUGCGGGGAUAAAGGUCACUACGUGUAGUUGUUUUGCAGGUACCGCAUGAAUAAAGACCGGCCUAUUCCCGUGCCAGCAGCCGCGGUAAUACGACGUCCGGCGUUAUCCGGAUUUAUUUGGGAUUUAAAUGGAGCGCAAGCCGCUUUUAAGCGUGACUGGAUGUAUAACGCCAACCGAAUGAAAUUGCUUCGCACAUGAAGGCCUUGACUGGCGCCGUCUCAUAUCGCAGU
RNAcentral lists this ribosomal RNA (651 nucleotides) under uncultured bacterium. RNAcentral's name for it is "bacterial SSU rRNA". It matches the Rfam family "Bacterial small subunit ribosomal RNA", at positions 28 to 668 of the family's 1533-position model. The record is from RNAcentral.